Molecule: long non-coding RNA, 6437 nt
Filed under: Sus scrofa (pig)
Lineage: Eukaryota; Metazoa; Chordata; Mammalia; Artiodactyla; Suidae
Description: lncRNA (ENSSSCG00060028055.1)
Source: RNAcentral
GUCGCCUCGUGCAGCGCUGCGUCGGCUGGGAGCUAGGUCCGCAGCUCCGCCCGGAUCUUCCCGCUUUCCCGGAUUUUCAAAGGCCCAAAGUGGCCGCUGCCCUCUCAGUUUCCUGCUCUGGGGGCUCUUCUCCAAGAACUCGCCCACGCAAACUCUCAGCAGCCUCUGAAAAGGAGACUGAGGUGCAGUAAAAGGAAGUGGUUUUCAAAGGACACAUCGGUUAUGAGAGGUAAGCCUAGGUAAUAACUGAUUUCACUGAACGGGACUAUGCCAUGUGCAUGAAAGUCACUCUACUUUCCUCAUAACAACCCCAAAUGCAUGCUUUUAUCCUGGUCUUAACAGGUGAGGAUUCUGGCUCAUUGAGGCCAGGGCCACAUGAUUAAUUGCAUCUGCUAGAAGUCCUAGUUUGGGGUUGCCAGAGAAAGAAAUUUUCCUCUAUCCUUGUAGGUUUUUCUGGCUGGUCUAAGAAUUGAAUUGACAUGUUGAUUCAUGUUAAGACAUGUUAAUGGGAGAAAAUCAAAUAAUGUUUAAUAACUUGUAUACAUAGGAGAAACCUAGAAAAACAGUCUCUCCGUAAAACCGUCUUCAGCUAAAGACAAAAGAAGGAGGUUAGGGAUAGUGGUUUGGGUCUUCAACGAGGAGGAAGGCAAUUCACAUAGAGAUGGAAAAGCAAAUUUUGGUAAACAGAUGUUUGUUGAGUCAAGCAGAGAUAGUGGGACACGAAGAGGAAUUAAAAACAAACAAAAGAAGACCUUAGGUACCUCCCAGGCUACCACACCUAGUUCAUACUGCAGUUAUCUAUGAUGAUAACUCUUUUCCUGGAAGAGGUCUUCUAACUAUUCUUUAAGCAGCUAAGGGGAACAUCACAGUUUCUGCCUGAGUCUUUUGGACUAUGAUUGUUUUCAGCUCAAAAUAAUUCUCAUGCCAAAGAGACAUUUUGGGGUGGCAAGUUUUGCUCCUCUACAGGGUCAUUUUUCUUCUACACCAUGAUCGUUCCCCUUCGGUUCCAGCAGAUACCCGAAAACCUAACUACGGACUCUUUGGGAAUGUGAGAUAUACUGGGAUCUGGUUACUCGGCACCUGUGUGAAUCAUAGUAUACAAAGGAAUAAUAAUAUUAAGACCUACCAAUCUUACCUUUACAGAGUAUUGAAGAGCAAAUGAGGUAAUAAAUAUGGAAAUACUUUGUAAAGUGUUAGGUACUGAACACAUGCGAGACAUGGCUUCCAGAGCGUCCUCAGUGUGUACCUCAGGAAUAGAAUAAAUGAAAUAUAGUGGUUGCCUCAGGAAAUAUGGCAGGAGAUCUCAUCUUGGCUAGACUUGAAUUAAUGUGGAUUCGCUGCCUGAUCUUUAUAUAUGUGUAUAUAUAUAUGUUUGUAUUUGAUUUUGGUUUGUUUCCUCUUAUUAUCAUGCUAUCAGUAGUAGUAAUAGCAAUAAUAGAGAAGUGGCUGGAGCUCCAGCAGCCAUCUUGGGCCAUGAAAGAGUUUCCGAAAUGAAAACCACAGAGAAAUACCCAAGGUGCAUGGGCUCGAGUUCCUAACACCAGGAAGCACCAAACCAACACCCACUGCCCACUUCCACAUCUAAGAAAGAAAUAGCGGUCUUGUGCAACACACUAAUUUUGUGUUUUCUGUCCCGUGGGGCCAAACCUCAUUAUUUCUGAUACAUAUACGUUACCUCAUGGAAAUCCUACAGUACUUCUAUAAGGGGAUAGAUACAGAAACAGACCCAGAGAGUAUAAAUGACUUGUUCAAAGUCGGCCAAGUGACAGAGACGUGAUGCUUUUGCUGAUCCUCAUUCUCUUUUUUAGUUCUACCCGCUGCCUAUUGUGAAUGAACGACUCUAUUUUUCUUCCAUGUACUUCUUUUCCAUUCAUUUAUUCUAGGAGCUGACAAACUUUUUGUAUUAGAACCAAAUAGUAAAUAUUUUAGACUUUGUGAGUCAUACAGUUUCUGUUGCACCUAUUCACCUCUGCCUUGAUAGGGCAAGAACAGCCAUAGAUAAAAGGAAAUGAGUGGUUGUGACUGUGUUUCACACAGCUUUACAAAAGCAGUGGCCCCUGUAGCCCAGUGGGCCUUGGCUGGCCAUCCCGUAAUUUAUUAGAUUCUGACAUUCCAUCACAAAGGUUCAUGGCAAAUACAGUACAGAAGAUGGGGGGUGGGCGUUGUGACAUUGCAGGCACCCUCACCCUGUUGAUCAAUACAAUAUAAAGGCCAGUGUGUGACAGUGAGGUCCAGAAGAAAGAAAGAUCCCUAACUGGUAAUCACGAGAUCCGGGCUGUGAGUUCAUGUCUGCCUGACUCAAACCAGAUCUAUAUCCUGAACCAAUCCCUCAUGCCUCGGUUUUCCUAGAUAUCGGGAGCAAAUAAUGCAAAUGUUAUCCAUACCUCCAUUUUCCAUGGCUACAGGGAGACUAAAAUGAUAUGGUAUGCAUAAUUGUAUUUUGAGGAGUUCCCAUCAUGGUUCAGUGGCAGAUGAAUCUGACUAGUAUCCAUGAGGACUUGGGUUUGAUCCCUGACCUCACUCAGUGGGUUAAGGAUCGGGCAUUGCCAUGAGCUGUGGUGUGGGUCGCAGAUGUGGCUCGAUCUGGUGUUGCUGUGGCUGUGGUAUAAGCCAGCGGCUACAGCUCUCAUUUGACCCCUAGCCUGGGAACCUCCAGUGCCAUAAGUGAACACACACACACACACCCAAAAAGACAAAACACCUAUAUUUUGAAAGCUAUAAAUGUUAUCCAACUGUGACUACACUGUUUCACCUUAGGCAGGGCCAGAUAGCCUCCUUUGUAUCCUUCAGUUCCCUCUCCUUACCUCUAUCGUGGAACUCCAAGAACAUAUCAAAUGCCUAGUAGUUUUAUUGCAUCUGUUUAUCCCUGCUCCUCCUCCCCAACUCACCAUAAAGUGUUAUUGUGUGGCAUUGGAUUCAAAGACUCAUUUAUUGGAAAAUCUAGACGUCCACUCAGGGUUAUUGCCAGGCAGCAUGGGGAUCACGCAGAGUCAUUGUCCAGUAGACAGGUCAGACAUUACACCAGUGAAUUAGCACAUCAGAUUUGAGCGAGAAAGAAAGAGCUGGGUUGUGAAACCCUGGAACCAGCUGAACUGGAAGUUUGUGUAAUUUCCUUCCUGCUCAGAGACUGUUCCAUGCAGCACCAGGAGGCAGAGAGGAGACCUGCUGCUUUCCCUGGUGGCCCCUGGAGGCCCUCCAAUAUUCUAACUGCAUUUUCUGAUUCUCUGCUCUUCCUACAUUAACACCUGUCCCCUCACCAGAGAGAAGUUUCCCUGAGAUUCUUAAGAGUCAUGGCACAGAAAUAAGUAUGCUUAUCCAUUUAUUCAUGAAUUCAUUUAUUCAUUCAGACAUUUAGGUAUUCACUCACAGAUUUCUUGAGUGCCUACCAUUCUAGGCACUAAAGAGAUGAUGUUGAGAAGAGCAGGUAUUGUCCAUGUUGUCGUAAAACUGACAGUCGUGAACAGACAUUCAGAAAAUCAGCCUGCCAAUAUAUAAUGGACGCAAUUGCAGUAUGAAGGGAAAUCAGAUACUAUGCGAGAAGGAGCGUGAUGCAGAUUGAGGUCUAACUUAGAUUGGUGAUUCUGAGGAACCAGAUGCUUUACGUAGUCUCAGGUCUUCAGUAAACUUGUAAAGUGGCCGCUAUGAUGACCAUUGUACAGACAGAGAAACUGAGGCUUAGAGAGACUCAGGGACUGGCCUAAGGCUACACUAUUAGUAAGUUCGGAGCAGGCUACACUCUCUGCCACACUGCACAGCCCACCUCCUACCUUGGCACACACUAUGCCUCCUUCCACCUGGAGAGCUUCUCUCUCUCCAUGCUUCCUUUGUUGGGUUCACGGUCUGCCUUCGGUGUCUAGUUGAGGGCCCCCUUCUCUCUGGAACCUCAACACAUCUCUUGUUUCCUAAGCUUCUGCAAUCAUCGUCAUGCAUUACUCAUGUGCUGCUGACCCUGGGACACCUUGUAAAGUUAAUGCUCCUUUUUUACAUGCUUGCCCUGUUGCCCUUGCUCGCAGUCCUGUGAGCAGCACAAGGUCAUUAGAGCAGACAGAGCUGGGUUCUUCUCUGUCCCACUUGUUUGCUGAGUGACCUGGAAAACAUUGCCUAACCCCUCUAUAGUUUCUUUGAAGAAAUACAUUUAUUUCUUGAGCUAUAUCUUAAAACAUGUGCCCUGGUACUGAACAGAUGGUAAGUGCUCCAUCCUUCUUCGUCUUCUACGCAGUUCCAUUCCCUGGAUCAGAAGCCUAUGGAGGGCAAGCUCCAGGCCUUCUCCUUUACCAUCUCAGCAACUAGCACAGUGGUCUGUAGUAAUAGGUAUAUCAUCGUCAUCUAAUUAUGGCAGUAACAGCCCUUACCUCCCUCCUGGGUCCUUCACUCCUAGUCAAACUUGUUUUCUUCUGUCUUCCUUUCUUUCUCAACUUAGACUCCUUUAAGCCUCCCCUUAAACUUGAUACUCUGGCAGGAACAGGUGCCACUACAUGCACAGUCUCUCUCUUCCAAAUCCACACUGUCAUCUUAGGAAGAAAAUAACUGAAAUAGUUCACUGGAGACCCAACAGAUGGUCAGUGAGGGGAAACCACUGACUGGAAAGGCCGUUGAGCUCCCCAUCCUCCCUACCACCUAGAGCCAUAUUUUACAGACUCUCGUCUCUAAGGGAUGCCAGCAACUCAUUUCCAAAGAUCGGGGAAUGUUCCAGCUUACUUUGUCUCUUGCCCUCUUCGUGCCUGCCUGCCUUCAUCUCUUCAGUUACCCAACAUCUACUGGAUACUAAAUAGUUGCUCAGUGCUGCUCCACAGCUGGAUGGUAUUAUACUAAAGCACAGAGAAAGUGCUGGGGGCACCCUAUGGUGAGAGAGAGAGAGGGUACAAGUACAAAGGGAAAGAAAAGACUGUGCUAACACUUAUUGGACACUGGAUCUGCACCGCCAUGUGCAGUGUCACAGUGAUUCCUCCCACCACCCACGUGAGCAAGUAGGGGUUUCUGCUGAAGGAACGGAGACUCACAAAAGCUGAGCAACUUGCCAGAAGUCAUCUGUUGAAAGAUGCCACAGGGCAAACUGCUGAAGAGGGAGUUUCUGCUGAUAAGCUAAAGUUGGAAAAAAUGCUCACAUUGGAUAAAAGGCUUCAAAUGAGUGCAGGUCCUAAUAAUUUCACUGAUUUCAACCUGCAGCACCAGUUUUCUCUUACAGGUGUGAGCUGCUCACCCACUCCGCAGUUCUAAGACCUCACUGUCCUGACCAGUUGUACACUACCUAUGACCUUCUCCCCUGACACGGCCCAAUCACAACCCCACAGCCUCUUGGCCAUGAGUCAUUUUAACAAAAGUGCAAACUAUGCGAUGAGCCAUGACAACAAUGUGCAACCCUAAACUCCAAUGAGUGUUUUUCUACAGUGUGGAAACAGGUGGAAGAAGAGAGUCCAGGGCAGAGAGAUGAUGACAAGGCCAAAGAAGGACUGGGAGUCAGCCUGCUGGAAGUUCAUGAUCAAGGCCUCAGGGGCUGAGUCAGAGGUUGCCCCUGGAGCCUGUACAGUAUGUGGACGUCAGUUAGAGAAAUGCUGCCAUGUACUUCUCUAGAAUCAUGGCAUUUGGAAACCAUCAGAGAACACUGGUUUGGGUAGUUUUCAGACUGAAUCCUUUGGGAAGGUCCCUGCAUAGCAAAGAUGAGGGCGAAUGGACUCCCAGCCCUUCCAAAAUGCCCUCCUCCCCUGCCAAGGUGUUUUCUUCUGCAGGAUGCCAGAUGAGAGGGCUGAUGGAGGCUGGAAUCCAGUCCCCACUCUGCUACCCAAGCUCUGUGCCUGUGGAGUUGCCCCAGCAGAGAGGGCAACUCUUCCUGAUGUGCACAAAGUACGGAAUGGGAGAGUGGUAGCUUUGCCCCCUUCCUGCACCCAACCACACAAACACAAAUAUAUACACACAUAUAGCCACACAGACAUACCCGCAGACUUACACAUACAUGCAUGUACAGAUUUAUACAAACCCACAGGCAGACAUAUAUAUGUGUUACAUGAAGAACACACAGACGCAUACAUACACACAUGAAUACAUCAUAUAUAUCGCACACUUAUAGACACACAUAAAUGCAAAUUAGACCACAAUAUAAUCCCCAGAAAUGUAGACACAGUUAUACAGACACAAAUAUAGUCAAGCUGAUAUAGACCCACAGACAUACAUACCACACAAAUACACAUACAUACACCCACAGCCUCAUAGCCACAUAUACACCACACAUGUAUAAACAAACACAUUUAUACAUAGACGGACACAACACACAAGCAUACAGAGCAUACAGAUACACAAACACAGACACACACAGAUGUGUAUACAUACACAGGUGGGCACACGUACAUGGAUCUUUAACCAGAACAACUCUGCUGUAUCAAUUUUACAUGAUAAAGUCUAUUUUUGAAAAAAAUUGUGAUAAACAUUUCACUCCUAAAAAA